Molecule: ribosomal RNA, 190 nt
Filed under: uncultured Spartobacteria bacterium
Lineage: Bacteria; Pseudomonadati; Verrucomicrobiota; Spartobacteria
Description: partial 16S ribosomal RNA
Rfam family: Bacterial small subunit ribosomal RNA
Source: RNAcentral
GUCGGGUGUGAAAUCUCGGAGCUUAACUCCGAAACUGCAUUCGAUACUGCCGUGCUUGAGGACUGGAGAGGAGACUGGAAUUUACGGUGUAGCGGUGAAAUGCGUAGAUAUCGUAAGGAAGACCAGUGGCGAAGGCGGGUCUCUGGACAUUACCUGACGCUGAGGAGCGAAAGUGUGGGGAGCGAACAGG